RNAcentral lists this ribosomal RNA (477 nucleotides) under uncultured Sphingobacteriales bacterium. Its description in RNAcentral is "bacterial SSU rRNA". It matches the Rfam family "Bacterial small subunit ribosomal RNA", at positions 907 to 1382 of the family's 1533-position model. The record is from RNAcentral. Lineage: Bacteria; Pseudomonadati; Bacteroidota; Sphingobacteriia; Sphingobacteriales.
UAGAAUUGACGGGGCCGCACAAGCGGAGGAACAUGUGGUCUAAUUCGAUGAUACGCGAGGAACCUUACCUGGGCUUAAAUGUAGAGUGCAUUUUUUAGAGAUAGAAAUUCCCUUCGGGGCUUUCUGCAAGGUGCUGCAUGGUUGUCGUCAGCUCGUGCCGUGAGGUGUCGGGUUAAGUCCCAUAACGAGCGCAACCCUUAUCGUUAGUUGCCAGCUGGUAAAGCAGGGGACUCUAGCGAAACUGCCACCGUAAGGUGAGAGGAAGGUGGGGAUGACGUCAAAUCAGCACGGCCCUUAUGUCCAGGGCUACACACGUGUUACAAUGGCCGGCACAGAGGGCAGCUACCUGGUGACAGGAUGCUAAUCUCGAAAACCGGUCUCAGUUCGGAUCGAAGUCUGCAACUCGACUUCGUGAAGCUGGAUUCGCUAGUAAUCGCGCAUCAGCCAUGGCCGCGGUCCGAAUACGUUCCGGGCCUU